This 403-nucleotide ribosomal RNA is filed under the name uncultured bacterium. RNAcentral's name for it is "bacterial SSU rRNA". It matches the Rfam family "Bacterial small subunit ribosomal RNA", at positions 362 to 758 of the family's 1533-position model. The record is from RNAcentral.
UUUUGGACAAUGGGCGCAAGCCUGAUCCAGCCAUGCCGCGUGAGUGAAGAAGGCCUUCGGGUUGUAAAGCUCUUUCGGCAGGAACGAAAUUGUACGUGCUAAUACCACGGACUGAUGACGGUACCUGAAGAAGAAGCACCGGCUAACUACGUGCCAGCAGCCGCGGUAAUACGUAGGGUGCAGGCGUUAAUCGGAAUUACUGGGCGUAAAGCGUGCGCAGGCGGUUUCUUAAGUCAGAUGUGAAAGCCCCGGGCUUAACCUGGGAACUGCGUUUGAAACUGGGAGACUUGAGUGUGGCAGAGGGGGGUGGAAUUCCACGUGUAGCAGUGAAAUGCGUAGAUAUGUGGAGGAACACCGAUGGCGAAGGCAGCCCCCUGGGCUAACACUGACGCUCUGCACGAAA